AGUCGAACGAGAAAGUAUCCUUCGGGGUACAAGUAAAGUGGCGAACGGGUGAGUAACACGUGGGUAAUCUGCCCUGAAGUUGGGGACAACUCGCUGAAAAGCGAGCUAAUACCGAAUGAGAUAGUCUUUACAUAUGUGAGGAUUAUGAAAGGUUUCGGCCGCUUCAGGAUGAGCCUGCGGUCUAUUAGCUAGUUGGUGAGGUAAAUGCUCACCAAGGCUACGAUAGAUAGCCGGCCUGAGAGGGUGUACGGUCACAUUGGAACUGAGACACGGUCCAGACUCCUACGGGAGGCAGCAGCUAAGAAUAUUCCGCAAUGGGCGAAAGCCUGACGGAGCGACGCCGUGUGGUUGAUGAAGGCCUUACAGGUUGUAAAAACCUUUUAUUCGAGAAGAUGGGCAAGCCUCGAGCUUGCUUGACGGUAUCGAACGAAUAAGCCCCGGCAAAUUACGUGCCAGCAGCCGCGGUAAUACGUAAGGGGCUAGCGUUGUUCGGAAUUAUUGGGCGUAAAGGGCGUGCAGGCGGACUAAUAAGUCGGGUGUGAAAUCUUAAGGCUUAACCAUGAGCUAUUGCUCGAAACUGUUAGUCUAGAGUUUGGAAUACGGAGACGGAAUUCCUAGUGUACGAGUGAAAUCUAUAGAUAUUAGGAAGAACACCCGGUGGCGAAGGCGGUCUCCUGGUCUAAAACUGACGCUAAAGCGCGAAAGC
RNAcentral lists this ribosomal RNA (706 nucleotides) under uncultured organism. RNAcentral describes it as "bacterial SSU rRNA". It matches the Rfam family "Bacterial small subunit ribosomal RNA", at positions 60 to 760 of the family's 1533-position model. The record is from RNAcentral.